RNAcentral lists this transfer RNA (64 nucleotides) under Alarcta quadrimacula. RNAcentral's name for it is "tRNA-Pro". Lineage: Eukaryota; Metazoa; Arthropoda; Insecta; Hemiptera; Cicadidae. The record is from RNAcentral.
CAGAAAGUAGUUUAAGAAAAAUAUAAGCUUUGGGAGCUUAAGAUAGAUAUUUUGCUUUUUCUGA